RNAcentral lists this ribosomal RNA (281 nucleotides) under uncultured prokaryote. Its description in RNAcentral is "partial 16S ribosomal RNA". It matches the Rfam family "Bacterial small subunit ribosomal RNA", at positions 524 to 803 of the family's 1533-position model. The record is from RNAcentral.
UACGUAGGGGCUAGCGUUAUCCUGAAUUACUGGGCGUAAAGGGUGCGUAGGUGGUUUCUUAAGUCAGAGGUGAAAGGCUACGGCUCAACCGUAGUAAGCCUUUGAAACUGGGAAACUUGAGUGCAGGAGAGGAGAGUGGAAUUCCUAGUGUAGCGGUGAAAUGCGUAGAUAUUAGGAGGAACACCAGUUGCGAAGGCGGCUCUCUGGACUGUAACUGACACUGAGGCACGAAAGCGUGGGGAGCAAAACAGGAUUAGAUACCCCCGUAGUCCCUGAGCGGG